AAGCAGCAAGCCCACUAGAGAAGACACUAUUGCUGUGAAAGAAGACCUAUAACUCCAGGAAACAGUGGGAGGGCGUCCGCUGUCAGGCAGAUGGGAAUGCCACCUUAUAUUCUGAAAGGACCAGCUGGCCCUGACGGUGCACCCCCAAACUCAGUGGGCUCUCAAGUCUCUGGUGUUGAACGCAGCACAUCGGCAGCACCAGGACUUGGCAGGAACCCACCGGCCCGUCCAGUCACGCCCAGGACAGGAGCCAAAGGGGAUGAGCAUUUACAAGAGCAGCGCACAGACCUGACCUGCGUGGAGAUAAUGCAAAGCGCCGACAUAAGGGAAG
This is a long non-coding RNA of Camelus dromedarius (Arabian camel), 331 nucleotides long. RefSeq lists it as uncharacterized. The record is from RefSeq and is a predicted model, not a curated record. Lineage: Eukaryota; Metazoa; Chordata; Mammalia; Artiodactyla; Camelidae. The transcript has 3 exons.